UGGGCCUUAGUGGUACAGUGGAAGGUUUGACUAUCUACUGGCCUGCUAAGUCCCAAA
RNAcentral lists this microRNA precursor (57 nucleotides) under Centruroides sculpturatus (bark scorpion). RNAcentral's name for it is "Csc-Mir-193-P1u_pre stem-loop". The record is from RNAcentral. Lineage: Eukaryota; Metazoa; Arthropoda; Arachnida; Scorpiones; Buthidae.